Molecule: unclassified non-coding RNA, 298 nt
Filed under: uncultured fungus
Lineage: Eukaryota; Fungi
Description: sequence contains ITS2
Source: RNAcentral
AACACACCUUGCACUCUUUGGUAUUCCGAAGAGUAUGCCUGUUUGAGUGUCAUUAAAUUCUCAAACCUUUUUGGCUUUGUUGGUCGGAAAGGCUUUGGAUGUGGGAGUUGCUGGAACUAGCCUUUCAGCUCUUCUUAAAUGUAUUAGCGGGUUACUGAUCUCCGCUACUUGGUGUUGAUAGUCUAUCUUACGCCUUGUAGUUGAAUCAACUUAUGUAGCUGCUUCUAACUGUCGACUUGGUUGACAAUUUAAUUGACUAUUUGACCUCAAAUCAGGUAGGACUACCCGCUGAACUUAA